AGUCAAUGUGGAGGCUAUAUACAGGGUGUUACGGUACAGAGUCAAUGUGUAGGCUAUAUACAGGGUAUUACGGUACAGAGUCAAUGUGGAGGCUAUAUACAGGGGGUACCGGUACAGAGUCAAUGUGGAGACUAUAUACAGGGUAUUACGGUACAGAGUCAAUGUGGAGGCUAUAUACAGGGGGUAUCAUUACAGAGUCAAUGUGGAGGCUAUAUACAGAGGGUACCGGUACAGAGUCAAUGUGGAGGCUGUAUACAGGGGGUACCGGUACAGAGUCAAUGUGGAGGCUAUAUAGAGGAUGUACCGGUACAGAGUCAAUGUGGAGGCUAUAUACAGUGGGUACUGGUACAGAGUCAAUGUGGAGGCUAUAUACAGUGGGUACUGGUACAGAGUCAAUGUGGAGGCUAUAUACAGGGUAUUACGGUACAGAGUCAAUGUGGAGGCUAUAUACAGGUGGUACCGGUACAGAGUCAAUGUGGAGGCUAUAUACAGGGGUACCGGUACAGAGUCAAUGUGGGACUAUAUACAGGCUAUAUACAGAGGGUACCGGUACAGAGUCAAUGGGGAGACUAUAUACAGGGGGUACCGGUACAGAGUCAAUGUGGAGACUAUAUACAGGGUAUUACGGUACAGAGUCAAUGUGGAGGCUAUAUACAGGGGUACCAGUACAGAGUCAAUGUGGAGGCUAUAUACAGGGGGUACCGGUACAGAGUCAAUGUGGAGGCUAUAUACAGGGGGUACCGGUACAGAGUCCAUGUGGAGGCUAUAUACAGGGUAUUACGGUACAGAGUCAAUGGGGAGAAUAUAUACAGGGUAUUACGGUACAGAGUCAAUGUGGAGGCUAUAUACAGGGGGUACCAGUACAGAGUCAAUGUGGAGGCUAUAUACAGGGUAUUACGGUACAGAGUCA
Long non-coding RNA from Oncorhynchus tshawytscha (Chinook salmon), 910 nucleotides. The record is from Ensembl. Lineage: Eukaryota; Metazoa; Chordata; Actinopteri; Salmoniformes; Salmonidae.